GAGUUUGAUCAUGGCUCAGAGCGAACGCUGGCGGCAGGCCUAACACAUGCAAGUCGAACGGACUCUUCGGAGUUAGUGGCGGACGGGUGAGUAACACGUGGGAACGUGCCUUUAGGUUCGGAAUAAGCCCGGGAAACUGGGUCUAAUACCGAAUGUGCCCUUCGGGGGAAAGAUUUAUCGCCUUUAGAGCGGCCCGCGUCUGAUUAGCUAGUUGGUGGUGUAAUGGACCACCAAGGCGACGAUCAGUAGCUGGUCUGAGAGGAUGACCAGCCACAUUGGGACUGAGACACGGCCCAAACUCCUACGGGAGGCAGCAGUGGGGAAUCUUGCGCAAUGGGCGAAAGCCUGACGCAGCCAUGCCGCGUGUAUGAUGAAGGUCUUAGGAUUGUAAAAUACUUUCACCGGUGAAGAUAAUGACUGUAGCCGGAGAAGAAGCCCCGGCUAACUUCGUGCCAGCAGCCGCGGUAAUACGAAGGGGGCUAGCGUUGCUCGGAAUUACUGGGCGUAAAGGGAGCGUAGGCGGACAUUUAAGUCAGGGGUGAAAUCCCAGAGCUCAACUCUGGAACUGCCUUUGAUACUGGAUGUCUUGAGUGUGAGAGAGGUAUGUGGAACUCCGAGUGUAGAGGUGAGAUUCGUAGAUAUUCGGAAGAACACCAGUGGC
This 661-nucleotide ribosomal RNA is filed under the name uncultured Alphaproteobacteria bacterium. RNAcentral's name for it is "bacterial SSU rRNA". It matches the Rfam family "Bacterial small subunit ribosomal RNA", at positions 9 to 716 of the family's 1533-position model. The record is from RNAcentral. Lineage: Bacteria; Pseudomonadati; Pseudomonadota; Alphaproteobacteria.